UGGAUUACAUUGAACUGGACCUACUUUUACCAAACUAUUGCUGGAAAGAGUUGCCUGCCCUUGGUUCUGAGUGUCCUGGAGGGGAUGGACUGAGCUACCAGGGAGAUAAUUUACAGUAAUCAGGCCCGGAAAGAGACUCUCUCACCCAGCAUGGAAGUGCAGCAGCCACUGCUGACUGGAAUGGAAGCUUUGACUUGCUCAGUUGCUGACCUAGACUGACUCUUCCUUCCCUAGACACCCUGGUGGCCCCCUGCUCCCAGAGGCCCACCAUAUUGGUGCUGGACUUAGUACAAACAACCAAUCAGCUUUAGCCACACUGAAGCUCAGAGCUCCCAAACUCAAGUGGUCUAUAAGCCUCAGGAAUUACAGCUGACUCUGUCCUGUGUGAAACUUGGCAGCCUGGUAAGGGCAAGAAGAAAAUAAGGAUGAUGCCACUAUCCUCCUGUCCCAUAGGAGUCCAGAGGCCAGAGGAAAGUGAGACUUCCCUAGGACUAGGACACUUUCUAGGGUGGACCAAGUUUCUAAGGAAAUGCUGCUGAUUCCCAGAAGAACAGAGAAUUGUAAGCUGUGUCUUCUACAUGAAGACUUGGACCAGUCUUAUCUAAACAUUUUAUCUCCUCUAGACCUAAUACACAAUUUAAUGAAUGCUUGUUGAA
Molecule: long non-coding RNA, 656 nt
Organism: Phascolarctos cinereus (koala)
Lineage: Eukaryota; Metazoa; Chordata; Mammalia; Diprotodontia; Phascolarctidae
Source: RefSeq, a predicted model, not a curated record